AUUGAACGCUGGCGGCAGGCCUAACACAUGCAAGUCGAGCGGAUGAAGGGAGCUUGCGCCUGGAUUCAGCGGCGGACGGGUGAGUAAUGCCUAGGAAUCUGCCGGGUAGUGGGGGAUAACGUCCGGAAACGGGCGCUAAUACCGCAUACGUCCUGAGGGAGAAAGUGGGGGAGCUUCGGACCGCACGCUAUCAGAGGAGCCUAGGUCGGAUUAGCUAGUUGGUGGGGUAAGGGCCUACCAAGGCGGCGAUCCGUAACUGGACUGAGAGGAUGAGCAGCCACCUUAGAACUUAGCCAGCGACAUGGGUCCUACGGUACGCCGCAGUGGCCAACAGUGGGCAGUAGGGGGGAGUAUUGCACAGCGGUGCCGCGUCUGUUACGGCAGCCCUCCGAUCGUAAAGCCCGUUAACUUGUGGGGAACCGCAGUAACUUAAUACGUUGCUGUUUUGACGUUACCAACAGAAUAAGCACCGGCUAACUUCGUG
This 484-nucleotide ribosomal RNA is filed under the name uncultured bacterium. Its description in RNAcentral is "partial 16S ribosomal RNA". It matches the Rfam family "Bacterial small subunit ribosomal RNA", at positions 30 to 507 of the family's 1533-position model. The record is from RNAcentral.